GAAUGGAAAGACCGGUACAAGCGAGGUAGGAGAAGAGUUGGCAAAUCCGCUCUUUAAUCUGAAGACGUGAUGUGGACUGAAAAUAAGUAGGGAAGCACGUGAGCUGACUGUCAAGAAAAGCCGCUAUUGUUUGCAGGAUACCCGUACCGUAAACCGACACAGGUGGAUGAGGAGAGAAUCCUAAGGCCGACGGGAGAAGCAUUGUUAAGGAACUCGGCAAAAUGACUCCGUAACUUCGGGAGAAGGAGUGCCAGUAAGAUGGCCGCAGAGAAUUGGCCCAAGCAACUGUUUAGCAAAAACACAGGUCUAUGCAAAACCGAAAGGUGAGGUAUAUGGGCUGACGCCUGCCCGGUGCUGGAAGGUUAAGGGGAGAGGUUAGCGCAAGCGAAGCUUUGAACUUAAGCCCCAGUAAACGGCGGCCGUAACGAUAACGGUCCUAAGGUAGCGAAAUUCCUUGUCGGGUAAGUUCCGACCCGCACGAAAGGCGUAAUGAUUUGGGCACUGUCUCAACAAUGCACCCGGUGAAAUUGAAAUACCAGUGAAGAUGCUGGUUACCUGCGCCAGGACGGAAAGACCCCAUGGAGCUUUACUCCAGCUUGAUACUGGGAUUCGGUAUUGCAUGUACAGGAUAGGUGGGAGGCUAGGAAAUGGUAACGCCAGUUGCCAUGGAGCCAAUGUUGGGAUACCACCCUUGCAGUACUGGGUUUCUAACCAGCAGCCGUGAUCCGGCUGGGGGACAAUGUCAGGUGGGGAGUUUGACUGGGGCGGUCGCCUCCGAAAGGGUAUCGGAGGCGCUCAAAGGUUCCCUCAGAAUGGUUGGAAACCAUUCGAAGAGUGCAAAGGCAGAAGGGAGCUUGACUGCGACACCGACGGGUGGAGCAGGUACGAAAGUAGGACUUAGUGAUCCGGUGGUAUAAAGUGGGAUUGCCAUCGCUCAACGGAUAAAAGCUACCCUGGGAUAACAGGCUUAUCACUCCCAAGAGUUCACAUCGACGGAGUGGUUUGGCACCUUGAUGUCGGCUCAUCGCAUCCUGGGGCUGAAGUAGGUCCCAAGGGUUGGGCUGUUCGCCCACUAAAGCGGUACGCGAGCUGGGUUCAGAACGUCGUGAGACAGUUCGGUCCCUAUCCGGCGUGGGCGUAAGAUAUUUGAGAGGAGCUGUCCUUAGUACGAGAGGACCGGGAUGGACUGGCCGCUGGUGUAUCUGUUGUCUUACCAAAGGCAUAGCAGAGUAGCCAAGCCGGGAAGGGAUAAACGCUGAAGGCAUCUAAGCGUGAAGCCCCCCUCAAGAUGAGAUAUCUCAUAACGUCAAGUUAGUAAGGCCCCUUGAAGACGACGAGGUAGAUAGGGCAGAGGUGGAAGUGUGGUAACACAUGGAGCUGACUGUUACUAAUAGGUCGAGGGCAUAACCA
This 1410-nucleotide ribosomal RNA is filed under the name metagenome. RNAcentral's name for it is "bacterial LSU rRNA". It matches the Rfam family "Bacterial large subunit ribosomal RNA", at positions 1496 to 2925 of the family's 2925-position model. The record is from RNAcentral.